GUUGCGAGUGUAAACGCAAUUGCCAUUAAGAUAACCAUUACUAUUCCAGUCACGCCCUCUGCCCCUCUAGCCAAUUCAGCAUACGUGGGCUUUUGUUCUCCGAAGUCAUUUUUUAAAUACUUCUGGUAGUCAUCAUGAGAAGAAUUUAUCAGCUUCGGAAAAUCACAUGCAAGAUGGUUUCCAGCAUGGAGAAUAAUGCCAAUUACAAUUGCAGCCGCAAUAGUCUUGUGAAAAUUGAUGUUAUCGUCAAAGGGAACGAAGUAACCCAAUCUUGUGGAUCUGAGCCAGGUGAUGGUAUUUCUACACACAGGCAAGAGAAUGAGAGCCAUGUUGAGCUU
Molecule: unclassified non-coding RNA, 338 nt
Filed under: Hevea brasiliensis (rubber tree)
Lineage: Eukaryota; Viridiplantae; Streptophyta; Magnoliopsida; Malpighiales; Euphorbiaceae
Source: RNAcentral